This is a long non-coding RNA of Neopsephotus bourkii (Bourke's parrot), 5261 nucleotides long. RefSeq lists it as uncharacterized. The record is from RefSeq and is a predicted model, not a curated record. Lineage: Eukaryota; Metazoa; Chordata; Aves; Psittaciformes; Psittacidae. The transcript has 3 exons.
ACACAAAAUCAACUGUCUGUAUGUAGCAACAAAUGUCACUUUUUGGAAGCCCUGGCUUGCAUUUUGCACGAGUGUCUUAUUGUGCAAAGCAAAAAGCUCUUUAGUUCAGUAGCAUUUACCCCUUUUACUUUUCCUAGCUACACAUGGCUGCAGAACAGCACCCCACUGGAGAAUCUGACACAUAAACUUCACUUUCCCUCUCCAAGCAAUGUUCAUAUAAAGCCUUGCUCACCAGUACCAUUUAGGUUCUGGCUCUGCAGACAUAUAUGGUGCUAAGCAUGUGAAAAGUCCCACAGUGUGUAAGGUGACUUGUCAUGUGUUUAAAUGCUAACAGACUGAGUCUCAUUGACUUGUUUUUCCUAGAGACACAAAAAUAAUUUUGUAUUGGCGUGAGAGAUAAAAAUACUAUAUUGAGAAGGACGGAGAGAUAAAAAUAAGCCUUGCAGCAUUUAUAAUGCUUUAGUUAGCACACUACGUGCCCAUUAUGCCACGGCAUUCAAAGUGCACAUAUUCUGUUAUUUACAACACAGUGUGGGAGAUACCGCUCCAGGUAGUCAAAGCCAGCCAAAUAGAAAACUCAACAAAGCACUCUGGAUACGCCUCUGCCCAUAGCACAUGUUUCUGAAAGGCACAAUAAUUGCCAUUUAUCUCACUGGCCAACAUUUUAAAAUGAAUGUUACUAUUUGGCUUAAAGGAAGCAUAAAGUGAAAACAUCUAUUUCAGAUAUCAUUAUUAUUCUGUUUACCCUGUGAUAAAAUUCACAGUGACUUUAGUGUGAACCAGAUCCUGCUUGUACUGGACUGAGAUUGGCACAGAUGGAAAGAAGCUAAAUCCAAGCAGGGACUGGGCACACAGGCUUUGUGAAAACUCACCCGACACCUCUAUGAAGCUUCUGGUACCCAAAUGCUAUCAAUAAUUUUCUGACCAGCUCAUAAUAGAAGACAGGACCCUGAUUCUUCUAUAUAAUUCAGAUUGUGAUUUUAUUAUGGUCUCUCUCUAUAUAACACUGGAAAAGUGGGGAAAAAACAAGAGUUGAUUUUCAAAGGCAGGAGGAAUAUUACACUAACAGACUGAAGCCUACUCUUUAAAAAUGCUAUUUUUAUAUCAUGUGUCUUACAUUUUAACUCAUUUGCUUCCCAGUUCGUUCCCAAACUGCUUGUAUUCCAGCAACAAAUCCAGGCUGAUCCUGUCUCUAUUGCAGUCAACUGUCUCCACACCUCAAAUCUUGUGUAAAAGUAACUAUUUCUGGACAGUUUUUCUUAAAAGUACAGCCAAAUUUUGUCAAGCAACGGCAACAAAAUGAGGUAGAAAAAAUGUGAAUAGGUACGAUUUAGAAGUUAUCCCAUGAAUACUUCAGGGAUAACUUGUUGCGAAUGCUACAACGCUUUCCUUGAGGAAAGCCGAGACCCGCACAUGCAACAGCUGGCUUAAGCUCGACUGUGGGCAGAUUUCCUAGCUACACAUUACCUUUACUAAUGUCUUAAUUGCGCCGUUUCUCUGCACCACCGUGACUUCAUCGCUUUUGAGAGGACUGCCUGGUUGAGCUUAUAGCACUUGACCUACUUUUCAGUGUUUUCUUUAUGGAUAACACAAAACUUUCCAGAGUAUCUGCAUUAUGAAUAUCUAUUUCAAUCAUACUUCAUAUGUAAAUUGAAAAGAUUUUAAAUGGAAUCCAAUAUUGUAAAACAUGUCCCAACAUCCCUUUCUGAGACCUCAUUUGCAUAUCAAUCUCGUUACUUGAAUAGUCUUAAUAGUGCCACUUGUUGGAGAGCUCUGUGUAUUGCAAGGUAUUUCAGUCAUGUAUUUAUAAAAACGAAUUGCUUUUUCCUGGGGAUAGGUAAUUCCCAAUUUAAAGUGCUAAGGGAAGAGAUGAAAGUACUAUACAGAACAACUUUUGUUGCCGUCUCAGCUUCAACCGCUCUGACUCGGAAGACCCUAUGAAUGAGUGACAUGUUAGCAGAUCUUAUGCAACUUGAUUUUUACAAUGGUAAUGGAGAAGUGAAAAAGGAAAAAUAAGAACAAAUCUUGCAGGUUUUAAUUGAGGCAGUUGUCAUUUCCUUCUGAAGUACAUUUUACCCUGCAAAAUUUGGUGAAAAAGAUCAGCUUCCCUGGAUAAGCAGCCCCAGUCCUGAGCACAGGCCUAUGUCAUUAUCAAUAAUUAUGCACAUAUUCUCCUGGGUUGUGCAGGUAGAAUUAAUGAAAUUGCAUCAUUUUCUUUGCAGUGAUUAAGAAAUUCACAGUUGAUUACUGAUUAUACCACAGGCACCGUAUGUCUUUUCGCAACCAGACUCUAACACACCCCAGGUACAUUGCGUUUCCAGGAGCACUGACAGUAUGAACAGCACACCCUGAGUCAGUGGCUGUGAAGGCUGUGAAGAAGACACUGUCAUGGUGUGUGGUAUCAAAGGUCCACAAUGUAAUAUCUCAGCAGCAUGGCUUGACAUCACAUCAAAAGCUCCACAAAGGAACAUUUGCCAUGCACAGAGCAUCAGAUCUCCGGCAUGCUAUCCGUAAAAGUGAAAAUAUCUGCAGCAAAAUGUGGAAGUGUGGACAAAGCAUCUGUGUUGGCAACAUGGUCCUUUUGCAAACCAAGGGAUGCACAAGAAGGGUAAAAAAACCCCUCCUUUCUCUUGAGCACUGCUGAGGGAGAGACUGAAGAAUAAGGAGGGCACAAGGUGGUUAACCCAGAUGUGUCAGAGCAGUGUUUGUGCUCUGGAGGGUAAAUAUCAGGCAGGAGACAUUCAAGACGGCAGAGAUAUUUCCUAGCAGUCCAGAUCUCCCCUGUGACAUGUCACAGGACACCAGUGAUCUGGUGAGGUUUAAUUCAAAGUAAUGAUUUUGGGAAGGAACAGAAGAUGGGUAAGAAAAAAAAGCCCACAACACUACUCCAUGGGGAGAACUUACUAUUCCUAAGGACUCUUUGCUCCACAUAGUCUUUAACAUCAAUGAAAGCUUAUGCACAUGCACCAGUGGCUGACUAGACCCAAAACCACUAAUUAAGAGUAAAAGCCUUGAGGUAAUUAUUACUCACAAAGAUACUGAGUUGGUAACAGCUCAGACUUUCUAGCGCCCAUGAUUCUCCUUUCAAUGGAUAACUGUAACUGGGGCUUUGUGCAAAUACAUUUCUUACCCUCCAGGUUGGACUGUGCAGCCGCAGCAGAGGACAUCUUGCUGUUGAUGGAAGGAAGUCACAAGGAGUUUCUUCACAACUGGCAGUGGUAGUUGGAUAUCUGACUGGAUGCCCGGCUUCCUCUGUGCCUCUGACAACAUCUCCCUUACUUCGUGUAACUGAAACUUGACUGGAGCAUAAGAAGGCUCAUGGAGGUUGAGAAUGUUGCCUGGCUGAACAGAAGCCAGAGGACAGUCAGGAGAGCAGCUACAGCAAGUAAUUGUGACCCCUGAUUACUGGAGUGAUUUAAAACUGCUCUUUGCUAUGUUAACUUGAAGUUGUGAACUACAAAGGUCUGCUGUGAAUAGCAUAUGAAUAGAAAAGGGACUCUGUUGGAACUCGCUUGUUAUGUUUGAAGUUGGUAGAAACUAGAGAUUGAAAAGACCCACUAGUUCACUGAAUUGAUUCAUUGCACAUGCGAGACAGAAACUCCUUGCGCAGAGUUAUCCUCCCUGUGUUUCUCAGGAAAAAGAAAACAUAUUGAGAUGUUUCUGGAGAAAAUGCUUUGACACAAUACAAUCCAUUAGGAUGUCUACAUUUUGACCUGGUUUGCCAUCUAGGUAAUUUUUGCAUCAAAUUUGCAGUGGCAGUUGCAGAAUGGCUAAAAAUUUAAAGCUUCACGUAGAACAAAGGUGAUUUAUUAUGUAUUUCCCUUUUUUACAGUGAAAGGAAAUGCUAUUCUGUAGCCGUUGCAAUUCUCUUUUUCUCAGAAGAAUUGUCAGUUUAGUCUAGAUGUAAAUGUUGUGAACACAUAGGUGAGACAUCAGGUUGAUAAUAUUUUUCUAAUUAUUUUUAAAUAUGAACCCAACAAAACAUUUUUAAACAACUGGCAUCCUGCGAUGUCUGAAAUGCAGUAACAAUAUGAGUAACAGCUUGAAAGCAGCUGGUAAAGAAACAAAAUUGGUAAUAUUUGGUGAUUAUCCCAAGGAAAAGGAAAAAGUAAGCAAAUGCUGUAAAGACUGACAAGCAAAUUCCAUUAGAAGACAUGUCAGUCAUCUAAUAAUUGAAGUUAAUUCAAUUUAUUUAAUUUAACUAGAUGCGUAGGCCAAGAAACCUUUCCCUUUCUUUUCUUCUCUCUUUUUUUUUUUUAAUGGACUUUCAUGGGAAGUUGAUAGAGUUCCUCAAAGGAAUAGACUCGCUAGCUGCAAUUUAUGUGUGGUACAGCCUACUUUUGUCUUUAGCUUAUGAAAUUUGGUCUAGUUUGUCAUGACUACUUUCUUUGUUAAAAGGUAAAAUGCACAUUGGGCAAAUGUUCCAUGGCAAUUUGCAUAAAAAGUGAUGACAAAGAGCAAUUAAUUCCUCAUUAUUAUGCAGUGAAAUGCUACUUUGCUCCUAAGUGACUGUAGAGGAGGGGUUUUUCUCUGUGUGUAAAUCUGUUGCGGCAUUGUUCUAAAAAUAGUACUUAAGAGCCCUCUGCACUCUUUGUAAAUCAGGGUCUUUGACACUCCAUUCGAUUCUCCACAGAGAGAUUGUUCUCACACAUGCUGAACAGUACAAGUAUCGCCCCAAAUGUUCAUCACGAUAAUAAGCAUCAGAAUUUUGUUAGAUAAAGCAAGAUAGAGGCAUUUAAUAUUUUGUCAAAUUAGAUCUCUAUCCUUUUUAUCUGGAGAUCAGUAUUCAAAGUACACUCAGAUCACACACAAAUAGAAACAUAUUCCUACCACACACAGCUAGUCUGUACAGAACAAAGAGCCAAGAUAUCGUUUUCUAUGAAGACUUGAUUCUGAGUACAGAUUUCAUUACCAGCUCACCAUAGGAUAAUGAAAUUCCUUCAGGGCAAAGAUGAGGUACAUCAAAGAGGCAGCGUGGAAAGGCAGACUUUGUUAGUGCAUGCUCUGUCACCUGCAUUACUGGUCCUUGCCUGCCUUUAAUUUGUAAGAAAAUGCUAGUAAUUCAAACCUUUAUAUUGGAACAACUUAUAUUUUUAUUUAUAUAUAUAUAUAUGUAUACACGUGUAUGUGUAUAUGCACACGUACACAGAAAUAUGUAUUUUUCAAAAUACAAAACCUUCUGCGAGUUGUGUGACUUCUUUGCAGCUGAAACUGAAUGAAGAAAAUAAUUUCUUCCUGGCAAAAAUGACCCAUGCAGGUCC